GUCGGUUCUCUGGUGAACCAUCUCAGAAUCAGGCUCCCUCCUCUCUGGUUCCAGGUGGGUCACCCGAGAACCGCA
Non-coding RNA from Myotis lucifugus (little brown bat), 75 nucleotides. Lineage: Eukaryota; Metazoa; Chordata; Mammalia; Chiroptera; Vespertilionidae. The record is from Rfam.